UACAGAGGUCUCAAGCGUUGUUCGGAUUCAUUGGGCGUAAAGGGUGCGUAGGCGGUUGGGUAAGUCAGAGGUGAAAUUCCGGGGCUCAACCUCGGAACUGCCUUUGAUACUGCCUGACUAGAGUACUGGAGAGGAGACUGGAAUUCACGGUGUAGCAGUGAAAUGCGUAGAUAUCGUGAGGAAGACCAGUGGCGAAGGCGAGUCUCUGGACAGUUACUGACGCUGAGGCACGAAGGCUAGGGGAGCAAACGGG
This 253-nucleotide ribosomal RNA is filed under the name uncultured Spartobacteria bacterium. RNAcentral describes it as "partial 16S ribosomal RNA". It matches the Rfam family "Bacterial small subunit ribosomal RNA", at positions 524 to 776 of the family's 1533-position model. Lineage: Bacteria; Pseudomonadati; Verrucomicrobiota; Spartobacteria. The record is from RNAcentral.